Non-coding RNA from Acanthosepion pharaonis, 99 nucleotides. The record is from the annotation of a GenBank genome assembly. NCBI's taxonomy places the organism in Eukaryota, Metazoa, Mollusca, Cephalopoda, Sepiida, Sepiidae.
AUUGAAACACCGCUUCCCAUAUGAUCACCGAAACUAAGCAAUGUCAAGCCUGGUCAGUACCUACAUAGGUGACCACUUUGGAAUACCAGGUGCUGUAAG